Molecule: ribosomal RNA, 468 nt
Filed under: uncultured bacterium
Lineage: Bacteria
Description: partial 16S ribosomal RNA
Rfam family: Bacterial small subunit ribosomal RNA
Source: RNAcentral
GACGAACGCUGGCGGCGUGCUUAACACAUGCAAGUCGAACGGAAAGGCCCUGCUUUUGUGGGGUGCUCGAGUGGCGAACGGGUGAGUAACACGUGAGUAACCUGCCCUUGACUUUGGGAUAACUUCAGGAAACUGGGGCUAAUACCGGAUAGGAGCUCCUGCUGCAUGGUGGGGGUUGGAAAGUUUCGGCGGUUGGGGAUGGACUCGCGGCUUAUCAGCUUGUUGGUGGGGUAGUGGAUUACCAAGGCUUUGACGGGUAGCCGGCCUGAGAGGGUGACCGGCCAAAUUGGGACUGAGAUACGGCCCAGACUCCUACGGGAGGCAGCAGUGGGGAAUAUUGCACAAUGGGCGGAAGCCUGAUGCAGCAACGCCGCGUGCGGGAUGACGGCCUUCGGGUUGUAAACCGCUUUCGCCUGUGACGAAGCGUGAGUGACGGUAAUGGGUAAAGAAGCACCGGCUAACUACGUG